Non-coding RNA from Doryrhamphus excisus (bluestripe pipefish), 805 nucleotides. The record is from RefSeq and is a predicted model, not a curated record. Lineage: Eukaryota; Metazoa; Chordata; Actinopteri; Syngnathiformes; Syngnathidae.
GUAACGCCCUGCAUAAAUUGUUUGGCGGCGCCGAAAUUCUUCCUUUUCGCCUCGGAACUCCUGAGAGUGUGAACACAGACUUUUACAAUGAGGAUGUGAUGGUGUCAUUAUUUCGGCUUGCGGCAUUUGAUCCGGAGAUGUGAGGUACACAUGGAAGACUCCCAGUCAGCUGGGUGUCGUCAUCGCAUAGUCAACAUCCACCUCUGAUGGAAAGCUCAAUGUAAUGGUCGCGCUGAUGUAGGUCGGAGCCCUCGGCAUGGUGGAAUCGCCAAUAAAGGCGCCGUGCCGACGGACAGACGCGCCAGUUCGAAGCUUGCAAGAUUCCGCCUGGAUGGACACACGCGCCAGUCCAAAGCUUGCAAGAUGUGUAGCGCUGACGAACGUGAGCAGCUCCUUCUUGAUGUGAUGAGACCUGUCUCAUAAGUUCAUGGCUUAUUUGUCAUACUUGACUUGUUUGUCUUUCGGAUUUACCAUCAUCCUUACUUAACCCUGGAGGAAAAGGUUAUUUAUAUUUGUUUUAUAUAUACAUAUAUAACUUAAAAAAAUUAUUUACACUGAAUUUGAUGUCAUCUAUUCGUUCUCCACAUUAUUUAUUAUACAUUUCAUUGGCAAUUUCCCUGCUGUUAUUGUGCAAUGACGAUAAAGGAAGUGUAUUUAUUUCCGGUAACCAAGUGGAACACUUCUUUUAAAAUUCUAUUUGAUAUCCAAGAUGUGAUAUACAUCAGCUACAAUAUUUCAAUGUUUAUAUUUGAAACAUUUCCUUUUGUGAAUGAGAAUGUACUUUGAAUUAAAGAACACUAUAAAA